RNAcentral lists this long non-coding RNA (21818 nucleotides) under Manihot esculenta (cassava). RNAcentral's name for it is "long non-coding RNA (MESC_LNC006254)". Lineage: Eukaryota; Viridiplantae; Streptophyta; Magnoliopsida; Malpighiales; Euphorbiaceae. The record is from RNAcentral.
UACCAACGACACAAGCUCAUCACAUAACUUGAUUUCCAAAUACUUUAGACUAGUAAGAAUGGUGGCAUUAGUCACACUCCUGAGAAUUGCCUCUUGACAUUUUUCAAAAUGAAGUCUUGUAAGUGAUGGGAGAACUUUUGGUAAUUCAACCAAAAGCGGGCAAUCAUCGAUAACAAGAUUUUCCAGGGAAGGAAGGAAGUUGGGCAGUUCUCCAACCAACUUGGGACAAUUUCGUAUUUGGAGUUGAUGCAGCUUAGGAAAUUUUGGCACAGAAUCUUCACCCAGACCUUUAGACCAAGCCCACAGCUCCCACUCACCCAUAUUUCUAAUCUCUAGUUCUUCCAAACAAGAAAAACAUGAAUCAUCCUCAUAAAACUCAACACCCACUUCUUUCACUCCACUCAUAUCUCCUAUGCUCAACUUUUUUAAUGACUUUAAUCGUCCAAGUGGUGGCAACGAUGUCAUUUGGCGACACUUCCAUAGCUGCACCUGCACCAUGCCAGAGAAUGAAGGCUCACCCAGCCAUGAUGGGAAUUUCCUACCACCAAAUGAUGUAAUUGAUAGGCUUGAAAGACUUCGAUAUGGCUGAAUUGAGUUGAGAACUUGUUCUUCAUGACUUGGGUUUCUCAAAUCAUCGAAACGUUCAUCAGCUUCAGCCCAUUCCAAGUGCAACUCAGUGAUACCAGGCUUAUCCUUCAAAUUGACAAAACCCGCAUCUCGAAUAUCUGCUACUUCCACAUUCUCUAAACUUGUAAUAUGAAGCUGCCCUCGAAGAUCACAAAGUUUCUUUAGUUCUGUGAUCCGACCAUUGCUUUUCCCCACGAUAAAUUUGGUCAACACGCAGAGACUAGUCAAAUUACCAAUAUGUGGUGGCAUCUCUUUCAAUUUCCUUGUGCCAAUAAUGUCAAGAUGCUGCAAGUUGAGUAAAUUGCAUAUGCCUUUAGGUAACUCAAUAAGCUCAUCACAAUCACGCAACUUUAAUGUCUGUAAGUUGAAGAGUUUAUCCACUGAUUCAGGCAAUCCUUGGAUUGGAGUAUCAGAUAGGUUAAGGUAGCGUAAGUGCUUCAAGUCACCAAUAGAAUUUGGCAACUCCUUAAUCUCAUAACGAGCUAGAGAUAGUGACCUUAAGCAUUUUAAUUUUGGCACCAACUCAUGCACCACCUUACUAGUUAAGUAGCAUCUCACCAAAUAACGACGACUCCAGGAUAACAAUGUCCGCAAGUUCUUCAUUUCACAGAAGCUUUGAAAUCUUUGAAAAGUGUUCAUAAAAUGAGGAAUAAAUGAAGAAUGUCGAAUCUUUGCAAAUGAUUUUGUACUCUCCAACUUAUCAACCAUAUGUAAACAUGUUUCCCUACUAACAUAGCGAGCUAAAUCAACAAUUAGGUCAUGCAUUAUAUAUUUCGAUUUAUUAUCAUUUGAUUGUUGAAAAAACGAUCUUGAUAAUAAAUCAUCAAAAUAUUUAUGACCCAAACCUUCACUGUCUUUCAUUUUCUUCUGGUCAUACAAGAAACCCUCAGCCAUCCACAGCAAAACCAAUUCAUUCCUAUCAAACUCGCGAUCCUUUGGUAGUAUUGCGCUAUAAGAGAAACAUCGCUUCAAAUGAGGUGGAAGAUGAAGAUAGCUCACUCUCAAGGCUGGAAGGAUAUUGCUCUUGUCGUCUGGUAACUCCCAUAUCUCAUUCCUCAACACUUCCUUCCACAAAUCAGGAUUCGGUUUACCCCUUAAGAUGCCUCCAAGAGCUUUUGCUGCCAAAGGUAAUCCUCCACAUCUUUCGACAAUCUCGUCACCCAUUUGUUUCAGCUCCAAGUGCGCGUCAAAAUUAUUUGCUCCCAAAGCAUGCUGGGCAAACACAGACAUGCAUUCAUUGUGCGACAGCUUCUUAAGAGCAUAUGCUUGAGUCGUACCCAUCAUUAAUGAAACAUCCUGAAUUCGAGUCGUGACGAUAACUCUGCUUUGAGGAGCCCCUGCUUCAAAAGGACCCCAAAACAGAGUCCAUUCCUCAUAGUUCUGGGUCCAGACAUCAUCUAGGACAAGUAAAAACUUCUUCCCAGACAACUUUUGCUUCAAUUUUACCUGAAGCAGAUUCAAAUCUUUAUCAUCACCGCCAUCGCCCAGUUGACGAAGAAAUGUUUCUGUGACCCUGGAAACAUCAAAAUCUUCGCCAACAGAAACCCAGGCUUUCAAAUCAAACUCCAACGUGGGAUCAUUGUAGACUAGCUGAGCUAGGGUUGUCUUGCCAAGCCCUCCCAUCCCAACUAUGGGAAUCACAGAGACCUCCGCAUCACUUGUCUGAGCAUUCAACAAUUUCAGCAUCGCCUUCUUAUCUUCCUCCCUACCAUAAACCUUCGCUUCAUUAACCAAAGAGGUUGCAGGCGGUCUUUCUGUCACAUGGCUCACCCUCCUCGUAGUAUAUUCUGCUAAACGGAGUUCAUCUUUCUGCUUUAUGAUCUCAUCUAAUCUUGCACUAGUUUCCUCUAUUUUGGCAACCAUCUCAACAUUGAACUUAAUAGUAUUUAGAUUUAGAUUUCCCCCACGAAGCAUAACAGAGAUAAACUCGUGGACCUUAUGCUUCUUCUCCGGAUGAACAGGUUCCUCUUCCAACUUGCGUUGCUGAACCUCCGUGGCAAGUUCAUCAAUGAUAUCCUCCAGGUCGUAAGCCAAGUCUCUGAGAUCGCAUAACCAGAUCUCCACCAAUCGAUUUGCCGUCUGCUUCUCCUCCGCAUCUUCAAGCACCGCAUAAAUUCUCUUGAGAAUCUUUUCCCACUUCAUGAGUUGAGCCAAGACUUGACCUUGGCCUACGUAUUUCUUCAAGUCAAUGGAGUUCAACCUGUCGAGAAGCCCCUGAAACCAACCAGAGAGGAUAGAGCCAGCAGCAGCUACCGCAAAAUCCAUAGCAAAGAAUGAGUUGUAAGAGAAGAAAGAAGCUACGAACUCUGAAGAAAUUUGGAUGAAGAAAUUUGUAAACAACUGAAAAUGAAUUAGAUAUUGCAAUUGAAUGAAGGGUGCAGAGCUCAACAGACAUGGAGUCCCUACCAAAUUAAUGGACCACUGGUAUGCGAAUGACCUGAGAAAUUAAUUGGGUUAUGGUGGGUCCCACCACCUUAUCCUCUUGCAGAAGUUCUUGACUUUGUUUUCAAAUAAAUAAAGUAUAUUUUAUUUUAAUGUCUCAGUAUAUUAAUUAAUAUUAUGUAUAAAUGAUGUUAAGGAAGUGUUGUGGAAACAUACAUUUGCUAAUAGAUUUUUUUAAAAAACGAUGAAAAAAAUAUUUUAUUUUUUUAAAAGUAUAACUUAUUUAUUAUUUAAUUUUAAUUUAAAAAUAAAAUAUAUUAAUAAAUUUACAGAAGCUUGUAUAAAAUUUUCAAAAUAUAAUAAAUGACUUUUUAUUUUUUUAUUAAAAAAUAUUUUUUUAAUUAUAUUUAUUUUUAAUAUAAUAUCUAUACUUAAAAUUUUAGGCGUUUGAUUAUACUAUUAAAGAACAGCAGAAACUUAACAGCAGAUCUAUAAACAGUAAUGAUAUAAUUUUUAUAAUAAAUAUAAUAAAAUUUAUUAUAAUAAAAUAUUUAAAAAAUAAAAAAUUAAUAAAUAUAAAACUUAUUAUAAUUUUUUUUAGUAUUAAUUAUAAAUAAAAAAGUUAAAAUUACAUCAAAGUAAAAAUUCAGAAAAAUAAAUUUAAAAAUUUUGGAUUAAAUUAUAUUAGUUUUAAAAUUUUAAAUUAAAUUAAAAAUUAAAAAUUUAAAUUUUUUAUUAAUAUUAUUUAUUACGUAAUAUAUAAAUAUAAUAAAAUAAUUUAUAAUAUUUUAUUAUUAAGAGACACUUUCUCCAUUUAAAUUUUUAUCUUAAAUAUAAUAUUAAUAAAAUUUAUAAUUUUAAAUAAUUUUAUCAAUUUAAAAAUUUUUAAAUUAAAUUGUUAAUAGUAAAAAGUUUUAAAUUUUAAUUAAUAAAUAUUACAUUUUUUUAUUAAUAAAGUCUACACACCGUGUGGAAAUUUUCAUUGAAUUUAUUUGAGAGAGAGAAAUGUCAGCAGUUGGGAAGAUGAAUGGUUGUAAGUAAGUCAAGGUCUAUAUUCAGCUUUUGCUUUGUAAAAGGGAAACAUUUUAAAAGUUGUGCAAAACGUUGUGUCGUACAAUGAAUUAUUUGAGAGAGGGAAGCCAUGGCAUAGUAGCCCUACUACUCACUAUUCGAGAUACAUGAUACGUACUGUAUACAGGUAUAUUAAAUUUUAAAAUAAUUUAUAAUUUAAUUUCUUAAUAUUAUUAUUACUAAUAAUUCAUUUUAAAAAUUUAUUAAAAUAUUUUUAACUAUUAUUUUCAUUAACGAAAUAAUUUUCUCAUCUAUUUAUAUAAUUAAAAAUAUAAAAAAUUAAAAUACCUUUUCUUCUCUCUUCUUCAUUUUUUCCAACCCCUUCUUCUUCUUCUUCGAUUUUUCCUGUCCUCUUUAUCUUUCUCCUUGUAUUCUUCCUCUCCUUUUCCUUUACUUUUUCUUCAAUUUUAAUUUUUCUUUUUCGUUUUUCUGGAAAAGUUAUAGCUUGAAUCUAAAUUAUUUGUAAACAACUGAAAAUGAAUUAGAUAUUGCAAUUGAAUGAAGGCUGCAGAGCUCAACAGACAUGGAUCAGUGGUAUGCGAAUGACCUGAGAAAUAAGGAGAGAAAAAUGGUACAAUAAUUGGGCUAUGGUGGGUCCCAAUUAUUAUAUUUUCUUUGUCUUAUUUGUAUGAGCUUAAUAUUCAAUUAAGUUUUCUUCUUUACAUUUUUUCUCAUCCACUUGACAUAUCUAUCCAUGAUCCUAUGAGUUAAUUCUAUCGUAGACUUUAUUUGGUAAUAAUUUGAUAUUUUAUAUUAAUGCCUAUCAUUUUGUAUUUUGUAUUAAUGUUUAUGAUUGGAUUAAAUUAGUUGUUGAUAUUUUAUAUUAAUUUGAUAUUAAUAUUAAUAUUUGUAUUUUAAAAAAUAUGAAAUGUAUAUCUUUUAUUUCAUUAAUAAAGUGAAUAGAGAUAUAAGUUAUUGCAUAAUUAAUGUAAAAAGGUUUAAAAUUCUAUUUAAUUUUAUAAUGUACGUGGUGUAAAUUCCGUGAAUUUUGAUUUAUCUAUAUUUAUAAGUGUUGGAUUGAAUAGAACUGAAAAUAAUCUGAAGGAUGAAAAGAGUGAGAUUUGUUAAUAAAAUCAUAUUUGUAAAGGCAUUCAACAAGGAAAAAUGAGGAUGAGAAGAUUGCAAUGUGACAGAGUUGAGAAAUUAUAUGGAUUACAUGCAAUAUGACAUCAAAAUUACAUGCAUGAAAUAAUAAAUCAAAAUUUUAAAGAAUAAAAUUGAAAAAAAUAGCUCUAAAAAAAUCAUUAUAAAAAAAGGAGUCGCAAUAAAUUCAGUGUCAUUGGACUUCUUUUUUUUUUUAUUUUAUUUUUAAUUUAAUGAUAUAUCAUUAUGAAUUUUAAAAAAUUUUAAAUAAAUACGCUAACAAAAUGACUUUUAGUUUUCUUUGAUCGAGAGAGAAUACAUUGAAUAACGAAGGGGAGAAAUAAUUCAUGGAUAAUCAAGUCAAUCAAGCAGCCAUCUCACAUAUCUAUACAUAAUUGAUGUAAAAUAUCGAAAGAUCAGCCUAUGCAACAUGUUUUGAAGAGAUUUUAAUUUACGAUUCAUGCUAUAUCAUGCAUGCAUAAUAAUUUUUCUCUUAUUCAAAUUAUCAUAAUUUUAAUUUAAAUUCAAUUAUUACGAUACAUAUGUGUUUAUUUAAAAAAAAUAAUAGCCAUCCCUUACUCUUUAAUUAUUUUCUAAAGUUGUAUUAUUAAUAAUAAUUAUAAAAUUAAUUAUGCUUUUCUCUUAUGUUAUUAUUUAUUAAUUAAUUAACAAAAUAAAAAAUUAAUGAAAUACUUCUUUUAAUUAAAAUAAAAGAUAAAUAUUUUUUAAUUUAAAGUUUUAUUCUCAUAAGAAAAUAAAAAAUUUUCUUGUAUGAUGACUUCAUUGACUAGUGGAAGUUUUGGGAGGAAAUUAGUGUAUAGGUUAUUUUCUCUGCUAUUACAUAAAGUUUCCUUGGAGAUGAGUCAUAUUUUGUAUUUAUUCUUAUUUUUAAGUUUAUUUGUUUUAAAUAAAAUAUAAAAUACUUUAAUCAUCCUAGAAUUUUAACACUAUACUGUUAUGAGCAAUUAAAUAAAGAAAUUUGUAAACAACCGAAAGUAAUAAUAUAAAUUUUAAUUAGUUAAAAUUUAAUUUCUUUACCAAAUUAAUGAGAAUCACGUGGGAGAGAAACAUGGUACAAUAAUUGGGUUAUGCUGGGUCCCACCACCUUAUCCUCUUGCAGAAGUUCUUGACUUUAUUUUCAAAUAAAUAAAUUAUAUUUUAUUUUAAUGUCUGAAUAUAUUAUUUUUGCAUUAUUUAUUAAAUUAAUAUUAUGUAUAAAUGAUGGUAAGGAAUUGUUGCGGAAACAUAUAUUUGCUAAUAGAUUUUUUAAAAAAACGAUGAAAAAAAUAUUUUAUUUUUUUAAAAGUAUAAAUUAUUUAUUAUUUAAUUUUAAUUUAAAAAUAAAAUAUAUUAAAUAAAUUUUAUUUUUUUAUUAAAAAAAUAUUUUUUAAGUAUAUUUAUUUUUAAUAUAAUAUCUAUACUUAUAAUUUUAAGCGUUUGAUUAUACUAUUAAAGAACAGCAGAAACUUAUCAGUAGAUCUAUAAACAAUAAUGAUAUAAUUUUUAUAAUAAAUAUAAUAAAAUUUAUUAUAAUAAAAUAUUUUAAAAAUAAAAAAUUAAUAAAUAUAAGACUUAUUAUAAUUUUUUUAGUAUUAAUGAUAAAUAAAAAAGUUAAAAUUAUAAUUUUUUACAUCAAGAUAAAAAUUCAGAAAAAUAAAUUUUAAAAUUUUGGAUUAAAUUAUAUUAGUUUUAAAAUUUUAAAUUAAAUUAAAAAUUAAAAAUUUAAAUUUUUUAUUAAUAUUAUUUAUUUAUGUAAUAUAUAAAUAUAAUAAAAUAUUAAGAGACACUUUCUCCAUUUAAGUUUUUAUCUUAAAUAUAAUAUUAAUAAAAUUUAUAAUUUUAAAUAAUUUUAUCAAUUUUAAAAAUUUUAAAUUAAAUUAUUAAUAGUAAAAAGUUUUAAAUUUUAAUUAAUAUAUAUUACAUUUUUUUAUUAAUAAAGUCUACACACCUAACAUGUGUGGAAAUUUUCAUUGAAUUUAUUUGAGAGAGAAAUGUUAGCAGUUGGGAAAAUGAAUGGUUGUAAGUAAGUCAAGGUCUAUAUUCAGCUUUUGCUUUGUAAAGGGGAAUCAUUCGAAAAGUCGUACAAUGAAUUAUUUGAGAGAGAGAAGCCAUGGCAUAGUAGCUCUGCUACUCACUUUUCGAGAAACAUGAUACGUACUGUAUAUAGGUAUAUUAAAUUUUAAAUUAUUUAUAAUUUAAUUUCUUAUUAUUAUUAUUAUUAUUAAUUCAUUUUAAAAAUUUAUUAAAAUAUUUUUAACUAUUAUUUUCAUUAACGAAAUAAUUUUCUCAUCUGUUUAUACCCUUAAAAAUAUAAAAAAUUAAAUUACCUUUUCUUCUCUUCUCCUCAUUUUUCCUUCUCCACUCCUUCUUCUUGGAUUUUUCCUGUCCUCUUUCUCUUUCUCCUUCUAUUCUUCCUCUCAUUUUCCUUUACUUUUUCUUCAAUUUUUCUUUUUCUUUUUUUUUUAAAAACAAACAAUAUACUUUUUUAUCAUUAUCAUCAUCUUAAAAAAGUUACUUAUUAAUCAUCAUCUUAAAAAAAUUACUUAUUAAUAAAUAAAAAUAUAUAUUUUUACAGCAUCUUAAUAAAACAUAUAUUAAUAAAAUUUAUAAAAUAUAAAGAGAUAUCAUCUCAAAUAUACAAAUUAUUAUAUCUAAUAAAUUUUCUAAAUAAAGUAUGAGUAGUUAGAAUAAUAUUACGACGAAUUUAUCAAACAGAAAAAUCAGCUCUAGAGUCUAAUAAAAAUUUAUAACCAUUCAAAAUUAAAUCCCUCCGUAAGAUAAUUUGGUAAAAAUAUUCUUUAAGUGCGUGUUUGAACCCCUGCAUAAGAUAAUUUGAUAAAAAUACUAUCUUCUUUCUCAUCUCUCAAGUGUAAAUCAUUAAAAUAUUCCAAACAAAGAUACGAAAGAAAGUUUCUACGAGAUAAAAUUCAAAUAAGAUUUCAAGACUGACGCGAUUCCGGAAAUACAUAAUAACUAGUAAACCUCCAUUAAACAUUACAUUAAACAUUACCUUUAAAACAAGUGAAUCAAUAAAAUUUGAAAAAAAGUCAACCAUAGAAAUAGACUCAUAAUUUCAUACAAGAAUUAAGAGUUUUUGUUUCCAUUAAAAAUAAAAUUUUUAACUUGUAACUAAAAACCAAAUCCUCCAAUGUAAUAACAGUUCGAGAAUUACCGCCAUAAAUCUAUUAAAAAAGCCUGCAUAUUUUGAAAAUUGAUUACAUUGUAUGCGAUAAAUAUUCUUAUCAUAUAAAAAUUAUAAGUGAUAAAUCAAAAUAUAUCUAGAACUAAAUUUAAAAUAUAUAAUGAAAAUAAUAUUAACCAUCAUAAACAUAAAAGAAAUAAGUAUUAAUUAUGGUGAUAAAUCCACUUGUAUUUUUAAAGGAAGAAUUUAAGUUUAGAGAAAAAAUUAUUAGGAGAAACAAUAAUGAAUUCUGAAAUAAUCACAAAAUAAACAAAAACGAUUUAAUAAAUUUUAAAAUAUAAUAAGGAAAAAAAGUGUAAUAUUACGAGGAGUGAAAAAAAUAUAAUGAUGAAAAGGAGAAAUUUAAUAUUGUCUCCCAAUACUCUCCUUUUGGUACAAUUUUUCUUAAAAAAAAAAUAAUUAAAUGGAUUUCACAUGCUGUAUUAAGAGAAAAAAAAAUCUUUCAAAUUUUAAUAUAAUUAAUAGAUUAAUUUUUAUAUUUUUAAAAUUAAAUAUUUAUAUGUUUCUAUAAUUAGUUCAUUCAAAUUAGGGUUCCUCCAUUGAUUUUUAUCAUUAAAAAGCAUAUAAAUGUUUUUAUUAUCUUUUUAAAUGGAUAAAUUAUAUUUAAAUUUUUAAAUUUUAACAUAAUUAAUGAAUCUAUUUUUAGUAUUUUUAGAAUUAUAUACUCAUAUCACUUUAUAAUUAGUCCGUCCUCAUCUAUUAUAAUUUAAACUUUUUAAUUUUUUAUUUUUUUAUUUGAAACAAUACUUAAAUUUUUAUUAACUUUUAUCUAUAAUAUUUUAUUUAAUUAAUUUUUAACUUUUUUUGUUAUUUAAUUUUUAUUUAUUGAAAUAUUUUAAUAUUUUUUAAAAAAUACUUAUCAUUUCAAUUAUUUUUAAGUGGUACAAAUAUCGGCUAUAAUAUCUUAUUUAAUUAAUUAUCUAUAAUAUUUUAUUUAAUUAAUCUCUAUUAAUUAUUGUCUAUAAUAUCUUAUUUAAUUAAUUUUUAACUCUUUUUAUUAUUUAAUUUUUAUUCAUUAAAAUAUUUUAAUAUUCAUAACAUCAAAACUUUGAAAAAAUAAUUACAAUUUCAGCUAUUUUUAAAUAGUACAAAAAACUCUUAAAUAAGUUGUAAAAUUUUAUAAAAAGUAUUAUAAAAAGAAAUUGUAUUUUCAGAAAAAAUUAUAAUUUUAAACCGUUUAAAUAUAGAGAGAUUUAAGGAUUUAUUUUUAAAAAUAUAAAAAUUGGUCCGUCAAUUACUCUAAAAUUUAGAGAUCAAAAUAUAAUUUAUAUAAUAUAAAAUUUCUAGUUUUGAACUAAUGGAUGAAGAGAGAUUUAAGGAUUUAUUUUUAAAAAUAUAAAGACUGGUCCGUCAAUUACUCUAAAAUUUAAAGAUCAAAAUAUAAUUUAUAUAAUAUAAAAUUUUUAUUUAAAUUGAAAAUAAUAGAUAUUUAAAAUAUUUAUUUUUUAUUUGAAUAAUUAAUUAACAAAAUUAUGGAUGAAAUAACUUUCGAACAAAAUAAUUAUAUAGAAAUUUAAGUGUUUAAUUUUAAAAAAAUAAUCAUCAAUCUAUUAAUUAUAUUAAAAUUUAAAAAUUAAAAUAUAAUUUACUUUUUAUUAUAUAAUAUUUAUUAUAUAAUAUAUAUAAUAGUAUCGAUAAUAAAAUAAUUUUUAUUUUAUUUUAUAUAUAUGUGCGUUUUUAUUAUACAAAAAGAAAAAAAAAAAUAAUUAAUAUAAUUAUUUGCAUACAAUUUCUCGAGAUGAGACCUCUCGCCACUGUAAUUACAAUGACACACAAUUCCCUCCGGCAGAGACUCCAAAGAUUCACAGCUCGUAAUAUGAAGACGAAUCAAGUUGUGCGGCAAACCCCCUGCUGGGAGGGAGACCCUUUAUAGUCAAAUCUUUGAGAGAUUUUAGGUCUUUCAGUCCACUUGGCAACUCCUUCAGAUUUGGACACCCAUAUAUAUUCAAAACUUCAAGAUUGCAAGGCAAAAGCCCUGGCUCUCCAUCUACCAACGACACAAGCUCAUCACAUAACCCGAUUACCAAAUACUUUAGACUAGUAAGACUGGUGGAAUUAGUCACACUCCUGAGAAUUGCCUCGAGACAUUUUGUAAAAUGAAGUCUUGUAAGUGAUGGGAGCACUUUUGGCAAUUCAACCAAAAGCGGGCAAUCAACGAUAAAAAGAUUUUCCAGUGAAGGAAGGAAGGUGGGCAAUUUUCCAACCAACUUGGGACAAUUUCGUAUUUGGAGUUGAUGCAGCUUAGGAAAUUUUGGCACAGAAUCUUCCCCCAGACCAUUAGACCAAGCCCACUGCUCCCACUCACGCAUAUUUCUAAUCUCUAGUUCUUCCAAACAAGAAAAACAUGAAUCAUCCUCAUAAAACUCAACACCGACUUCUUUCACUCCUCUCAUAUCUCCUAUCCUCAACUUUUUUAAUGACUUUAAUAGUCCGAGCGGUGGCAAUGAUGUCAUUUGGCGACAGUUCCAUAGCUCCACCUGCACCAUGCCAGAGAAUGAAGGCUCACCUAGCCAUGAUGGGAAUUUCCUACCACCAAAUGAUGUAAUUGAUAGGCUUGACAGACUUUGAUAUGGCUGAAUUGAGUUGAGAACUUGUUCUUCAUGACUUGGGUUUCUCAAAUCAUCGAAAUGUUCAUCCGCUUCAGCCCAUUCUAAGUGCAACUCAGUGAUACCAGGCUUAUCCUUCAAAUUGACAAAACCCGCAUCUGGAAUAUCUGCCAGUUCCACAUUCUCUAAACUUGUAAUAUGAAGCUGCCCUCGAAGAUCACAAAAAAAUUAAAUGGAUUUCACAUGCUGUAUUAAGAGAAGAAAAAAAACAAAAAAAUCUCUUUCAAUGAUUUAGGAAUUUCUAUUCUUUUAUUUUAAUUUGAAAAAUAAAAUACAAGUGGGUCGUCCGUACGAAAGUGGGUCGUCCCUCCCUUCUUCCGGGAUGAGAUUUUAUAUAGUUAGUUUUUUUUUUUUUUUUNNNNNNNNNNNNNNNNNNNNUUAGAUAUUUUUUGGUGAGGGUUUUCUUUCUUCAAAUCUGCAUGUUCUUAUUUGCUUUUGUUAAUGGUUUUCGCUGUCGCUUCAGGGACUUACUUUUGAGGUUUUAAGUGUUGGCUAAGUUUUCUUCUUCGGCUACCCCUCUGUCUAUAUGAGAUUGAGAGACAGAGGGGCUAUGCUUCCUUCUCUCUUCUUUCUCUCCUUAGAGCUCUUUUAAGGUUCUUUUAUGCGCCUUUUGUUUUUUCUUGCGGCUUUUCUCCUAGCGGGUUAGCUCCCAGAGAAUCCUGUGAAGUUGUGUUUAGGACUUCGCUGUCGCUACCUGCUGCUUCUAGCUUUUCGCUUGCGGAUGCAUGUAAAUUUGAAGUUAGUGUUCAAUUUUUAUUCAUUAAAAUAUUUUAAUGUAUAUAUAUAUAUAUAUAUUAGCACUCCAAGACUUAACCUGCUGGAAAGUGCAUUCUGUAACCUAAGUCUAAAGUUCGAUUCUCCUAACCCCUAUUUCAAAAAAAAAAUAUAAUUUAUUUAAUAUUAAAGUAUAUGUAAAAUUAAUAAUUUAUUAUAAAAUAAAUUAUAUUUUAAUUUUUAAAUUUUAAUAUAAUUAACGGAUUAAUUUUUAUAUUUUUAAAAUUAAAUAUUUAUAAUUUUCUAUAAUUAGUUCAUUCAAAUUAGAGUUUCCUCCAUUCAUUUUUAUCAUUCAAAGCAUAUAAAUAUUUUUAUUAUCUUUUUUAAAUGGAUAAAUUAUAUUUAAAUUUUUAAAUUUUUAAAUUUUAACAUAAUUAAUAGAUCUAUUUUUAGUAUUUUUAAAAUUAUAUACUUAUAUCACUUUAUAAUUAAAUACCGUUCUAUUAUAAUUUAAACUUUUUGAUAUUUCAUUUUUUUUAUUUGAAACAACACUUAAAUUUUCAUUAACUUUUAUCCAUAAUAUUUUAUUUAAUUAAUUUUUAAAUUUUUUGUUAUUUAAUUUUUAUUUAUUAAAAUAUUUUAAUAUUUUUAAAAAAAUUACUUACUAUUUCAGUUAUUUUUAAAUGGUAGAAAUAUCACCUAUAAUAUCUUAUUUAAUUAAUUAUCUAUAAUAUCUUAUUUAAUUAAUCUCCAUUAAGUAUUGUCUAUAAUAUCUUAUUUAAUUAAUUUUUAACUUUUUUUAUUAUUUAAUUUUUAUUCAUUAAAAUAUUUUAAUAUUCAUAACAUUAAAACUUUGAAAAAAUAAUUAUAAUUUCAGCUAUUUUUAAAUAGUACAAAAAACUCUUAAAUAAGUUGUAAAAUUUUAUAAAGAGUAUUAUAGAAAGAAAUUGUACUUUCAGAAAAAAUUUGACCACCUACUAGUUUUGAACUAAUGGAUGAAAAAAUUAUAAUUUUAAACAGUUUAAAUACAGAGAGAUUUAAAGAUUUAUUUUUAAAAAUAUAAAAACUGAUAUGUCAAUUACUCUAAAAUUUAAAAAUCAAAAUAUAAUUUAUAUAAUAUAAAAUUUCCACCUAAAUUAAAAAUAAUAGAUAUUUAAAAUAUUUAUUUUUUAUUUGGACAAUUAAUUAAUGAAAUUAUGGAUAAAAUAAUUUGAACAAAAUAAUUAUACAGAGAUUUAAAUAUUUAUUUUUACAAAAAUAAAAAUCGAUCUAUUAAUUAUAUUNNNNNNNNNNNNNNNNNNNNNNNNNNNNNNNNNNNNNNNNNNNNNNNNNNNNNNNNNNNNNNNNNNNNNNNNNNNNNNNNNNNNNNNNNNNNNNNNNNNNNNNNNNNNNNNNNNNNNNNNNNNNNNNNNNNNNNNNNNNNNNNNNNNNNNNNNNNNNNNNNNNNNNNNNNNNNNNNNNNNNNNNNNNNNNNNNNNNNNNNNNNNNNNNNNNNNNNNNNNNNNNNNNNNNNNNNNNNNNNNNNNNNNNNNNNNNNNNNNNNNNNNNNNNNNNNNNNNNNNNNNNNNNNNNNNNNNNNNNNNNNNNNNNNNNNNNNNNNNNNNNNNNNNNNNNNNNNNNNNNNNNNNNNNNNNNNNNNNNNNNNNNNNNNNNNNNNNNNNNNNNNNNNNNNNNNNNNNNNNNNNNNNNNNNNNNNNNNNNNNNNNNNNNNNNNNNNNNNNNNNNNNNNNNNNNNNNNNNNNNNNNNNNNNNNNNNNNNNNNNNNNNNNNNNNNNNNNNNNNNNNNNNNNNNNNNNNNNNNNNNNNNNNNNNNNNNNNNNNNNNNNNNNNNNNNNNNNNNNNNNNNNNNNNNNNNNNNNNNNNNNNNNNNNNNNNNNNNNNNNNGAAGACUAGUGGUCAAACCAUUAACUUUGCCAAAUCUUUUUUAUUCUUCAGCCCUAAUAUUCCAACACAGGUUAAGGGAGAUAUUGCAUCAUGUAGGCCUACCAACAGCUAUCACUACAUCUAAAUCUCAAUCAUUUGCAAAAAUUAGAGAUCAAAUCUAGAGAAAGGUUACCAAUUGGAAAGGGAAGAUGCUGUCACAAGGAGCUAGAGAAGUUUUAAUUAAAUUAGUAGCCUUAGCAAUCCCAACUUAUGCAAUGAGUCGCUUUCGACUGCAUUCAUCUUUUUGUCAAUUAGUCAAUAGCUUGUUAGCAAGGUUUUUGUAGGGUAAAAAAGAAAAUGAAAGAAAAUUCACGAGAUUUCAUGGGCAAAAAUGUGCAAACCAAAGGCAGAUAUUUCUCUUACUCAUAUUUUAUGCAAGCUAUACAAGGUUCUAGACUAUCUUGGACAUGGCAAAGUAUAUUGUGGAGUCGACAAGUCCUAGAAAAAGGGAUCCGGUGGAAUGUCAUUGAUGGAAAUUCUAUCUUAUGCAAAUAGGAAAAUUGGAUCCCAAAAACCUUCCCUCGAAUCUCUACAGUGAAGCAAGAUCUGGAGCUAUCAAUACAUUAGGUAUCCUAAUUGUUAGACAUUGCUUCUCACCCUUGGGACAUCCAAAAAUUGAAAGGAGUUUUCGAAGAUGUUGAAAUCAAAAAUAUUAUGGCAAUUCUGAUCAAUCCGUUUAGAGGAGAGGAUGAACGUGACUAGCACUUCUCGAAAUUAGGAGAAUAUUUAGUCAAAUUCGGAUACUAGAUAGCUUGUAAUUUAAGGGACAGACUUCUAGUUAGAACAAAUUACAGUGAAUCAAUACUGUACAAAUGGUGAUAUUUAGACUUGGCAAGAGCUAUGGAAGCUAAAACUCCCUCUAAAGCUUUCAAUCUUCAUGUGAAAGUUCCUUCAUGACCAUCUACCAACAAAUGAGAGGCUGCACAAUUUGGGAAUCUCUUCGUGCUCUAAUCAUAAGCUUUAUGGUAUGACAGAAUCAUCAGGCCAUAUUUUCUUCCUAUGUCCUCGAGCAGUACAAGUUUGAUUGAUCUCGCUUUUAAUGUUUUGGGUAGUAAGUUUGAACAGCACAUCACCAAAAGAAUAUUGGAAUGAAAUUAAGUCAUUCCUAAGGAUCAAUGACCACGAUGCCAAGUGGAAGAGAAUGAUAGUCUUUCUGUUGUGAUAAUUAUGGAAAGAGCAAAAUGAACACAAUCUUUAAGGAUAUAAACAUUCAAGUAAAUCAUCCAGUAAGUGCAGGGUUGAGAUAUUUGAAUGAGUUUCUGAGCAAUAUUCCAAAUACAUGUCCAAUACAAUCAUGAUUUGAUCAAAUUGACAUGAAAUAGGAAAGACCUGCUAGAGAAAUAGUUAAAAUUAAUUUUAAUGGGACGGUGAGUGGCACGAAAAAUAGAGGUUUAAUUGCGGUAAUUAUUCAAAAUGAAGAAAAGGAUCGGUCCUAAGCUGAAGGUGCAAGAGAUUCAUAAGAAUAAUUGACUCUUUAAUUCUAGAAGCAAUAGUAACAAGAGAGGCCGCUAGUGUAGCAGCUAACUAUAAAGUCAGAAGAGUUUAUAUUGUAGGAAAUUCUAUAAAAAUCGUUCAAAUUUUAAAAGGAAACUAAACUUAGUCUAGCCAUUAUUUAAAUAUUACUUUUAGUUAUAUCACUAGAAAGAAGAAUAAAACAGCCCAUUAUUUAGAAAAAGGAAACUAAUCAAUGAUUUUUUUUUUAAUUUUUGACUUAAUUAAAUUUUGUAUUUUUCAUUUUAUCCAUUAAGGGUCAGGAAUAUAAUUCUUAAAAAAAAAAAGAAAAUAGUAGUCUUCAAAGGACAUAAGUGGAGAAGGAUUUUUUUUUAAUUAAUUAAUGGAGAAGUUAAAGUCAAACUAAUUAGGCAUUCACAGGUGAAAAGUGGAUAUAAAUAAAUAUGAAAAAUUUAAUACUUCACUCCCUCAAUUUCUAAUUUUCAACUAAAAAAGUUAAAUUAAUUAGAUGUGACAUGCCAACAUGCUUUUUCUGCCAUUAUAUUGUUCUUUUUCCCAUUCGCUCCAUUAAAUUCACCCUUUAUUUUCUUUUUACAAUUUUGCAUUCAAUUAGAUAUAAUAAUAUCUGUAAUCCUUUAAAAAUAUCAAUUUAAACCUAUAAUUUUGAAUACAUGCUUCUGAAAAAUAGUAUAAUUUUAUUGUACUUUUACAAGUAAUUGAAGGGAGAAAUUUGUAGAUAAUAAAAAAUAAUUUAGAUUGUGAAUCAAUAUUAAAUUAAAAUACUUAAAUUUGUAGAGAGAAAAGAAAAAUAUAAUGGGUGAAUUAAUUGUGAAAAUGUAAAGAAAAAAGACAAAAAAAAAAAAAGAAAAAGAAAAAGAAAACAUCCAAGUAAAAUUUCUCGAAAUUAAUUGAAGUAAGUUUAGAAAUAUGCUAUAUAUAUAGCUCUUGCUCGCAAGUGGAUCACUUUUUCCUAACUUUAUUCAAUUUUUCACUAAAAAAAGCAAUAAAUCUUGUAGACUGUGACAACACUCCACUAAUACUUUUAGACUCCACCAAUUCCAACUUCACAAGUAUCACAUUUACUCUCAAAAAGUUUAUUAAAAUCGAGUAGAGUAAAAAUAGAAACAAAAAUAAGCUUAUUUUUAUUCUCUUUAAAACUCUUAUUGACAGCGUCUGUCCACAUAAAUUUAUGUACUCUCUUUUUUUAAGCAAUUUGUGAUAGAGGCAACGAUACUGCUGAAAUUUCUAAUAAAUUGUCGAUAAAAAAUAGCAAGGCCAUAAAAGCUGUGAACUUUAUAAAUAGUUUUAGAGAUAGGCCAAUUCCGUAUUACUUCUACCUUCUUCUCAUUAACAUGUAUUCAUUCUACACUAACAACAAAUUUUAAAAACAGAACGCGCUCCGUCAUAUAAAUACACUUCUUAAGAUUAAUAACCAAUUCAUUUUCUUGCAACGCUGUCAUGACUUGACGGAGAUGCUGUAAAUGUUUUUUUUUGAUGCGACUAAAAAUGAAAAUGUCAUCAAAAUAAACAAUCAUAAAUUUACGUAAGAAAUGACGCAAAACCAAAUUCAUGAGUCAUAUAAAAGUGUUAGGUGCAUUCAUCAAAUCAAAUGAUAUAACCAGCCAUUCAUACAAGUCUUCCUUAGUGUUGAAGGCGAUUUUCUCUUAGGGUUUAAGCUUCAAGAUUAAUAACCAUGAUUAAUUUUCGUAGAACUAUCAAUAAAAAUUAUCUUGAGAAUUAUAGAAUAUUAUAAUGUGUGUCAUAGCCACCCUUUCCUAUUUGAGCAAACAUGGCCCCAUUGUUUAUUCUUGAAGCAUAAACCCUAAGAGAAAAUCAUUAUGCUUGAAUCGACUUUGAGGCCCUAUGAGUUUGAGAUCAACUUAAUAAAACAACAAUUUUUUUUUAAAAAAAAAAGAAAUUUCAUGAUUUAUUCAAUUAGACAUAAUUAAAAUAAAUUGAAAUUUAAUAAAUUAGUCAUGAUAAAUGUUUAUUUUAUCCUCAUCAUGAAAUUCAAUUUUCUUUAGUAAUCAUUAAAUUUAAUUACUAGUUUGAUAAUCAUUGGUAUAAUUUUUUUUUAUUAUACAAUUAAUAUUACUUAAUGAAAAGUUUACUCGAUGAAUCAUAAUAUUUAAAAAUUAAUGAAAAGUUUACUUAAUGAAUCAUAAUAUCUAAAAAUUAUUCGAUUUUAAUUUUAGUACGAUUCUAAUUAAGAAUUAAAAUUCAAACUAAACAUUUAAUUCUUUAAUUUUUAAGAGUUAUAUUAAAAAUUAAAUUUUGAUAUAAUUUUAAAUAAUAUCGAUAUAGUUUCAGUUUAAUUUUAAUUUUAAUUUUUAAAAAUAAAGUUAUAGUAUUUUUAUAUUUAUUUUAAAAUAUUAAAUAAUUAACAUUAAAAUAAUAAUAAAAAAAUAUUAUAUAUAAUUCUCUACUAAUAUAUAAUUCACUCAUAUGAUUAAAAAUUAUAAAAUAAUUAAUAUAUUUAUAUAUGAAAUAGUAAAUAUAUAGAUACAAACAUCUUUAUAUAAUUUAUUAAAUUAUAAUUAACAAAUUAAAUUAUUUAAAUCAUAUUUAUUAAAAAUCUCUAAUAACUAAUUAAAUUAUAUAAUUAUUUUAUAAUAUUACUAAUAAUUAAAUAAUUAAAAGAGUGAUUUAUAUUUAAAUUAUAUAAAUAAUUUAAUUUAUAAAAAUAAUUUGAUAAUAUUAACUAUAAAAAUAAUCAAAUAAAAAGUAUAUAUACACGUAUUCAAUGAACUAAAUUCUUAGAGUCUCAAAUGUCCUGAUCCAAGACAGAUUAGUAAUCUUAACAUUUUCCAACUUUUAUGAUCAUCAUCAGUGCAUGCCACCAAAAUCUGCAGAGUUGUUGAGCUUAGUUUCUACCAUUUCACUGCGACAGACAUAAUUCAAUAAGUUUCAGUACCUGAAAGGGAGCAGCUAGAUUCCUUUUUGUUCCCAAGAAGGUGAAAUUUCCUGAUCAUGUAUAGCAAUAAGAUGGAUGGUCACAAAUUGAAUAACGGAUAAGUUGAUCAGAACAAAAGGAAAACACCCAAUUUGUUCCUCUGCCAUUAACAUCUUGUUUAGGAGAAAACAAAGUGAUAGAAUUCAAUUCAAUCGUGCUAAAAAAAUCCAUGAAUUCACAUGUUCGGAUACUGAAAUAAUAGAAUCCAAUUAAAUAUCAGUAUUUGAAAUAAUUGAAAGGUCAACUGAAUUGAAAAAAAGAUGCUCACAUCUCUAUAGUGCUGCAUUGUUUCAGAAUAAGUACUACAGGAAUAUUUACCUCAUUGUUGGAGUGCUGCAAAGUCAUCUUUAACUGGGAAGGACUGCAAAAUCAUCUAUACCAACAAAGGGGAUAUCAGAAAUGAUAGGCCAGCUGUGAAUAUCUAUGCAUUCAAGUGUAGCAGGAAGGCCCUCAGCUGGGAAGGACUGCAGUUUUGGGCACCACCAAAUUGAUAAUUUUUCAAGAGAGGUGAGCUUUUGGAUACCCCUGGAUAUGGAUUUUAGAUUCUUGAAUCCAAUAAUGAAUAGGUGGGUAAGAGAAGUGGGAAGCAGAAAGCCGUCGUCAUCUGGAAAGGAAAUAAAAUCUCCAGUUGACUCCACGUUUAGAACCAAACUUCUAAGAGAGACGAGUCUGUGGAGUCCCCACUCUAGCAUUGGCUGUUUCAUAUUCAAGCACUCUCGAAUAUGAAGGGAAGUUAGGUUAGGGGGUAAACAACCUCCUUCUAAGGACUCCAUACCUUCACAUACUGAUAUAUCUAUAGAUUGAAGGGAAGUGAGGUUUUGCAUCCGAUUGGGUAGAGACCUCAAAUUUUUGCACCAGGAAAUUUGAAAUGACACAAGCUUGGGGUUGGGCAAUCCCAUCUCUGGGAAAAACUCUAAUUGAUGACAGCCCCCUAUUUCUAACUGUUGGAGACUUUGAAAGUCUUGCAUAUGAUUGGAUAGAGACCUCAAUCCUUCACAGUGAGCUAUUGUUAAAGAGAUAAGAGAAGGGAGAGGCAAUUCCUUCCCUGGAAACGACUCUAAUUGAGGACACUUCUCUAUGUGUAAUUCUGUAAGAUGAGAAAGCCCACAGUAUAGCGAGUUUAAAAAUUGUGGCGUCCAGUUGUGAAUUCGAAGAGUCUUAAGGGAAUAUGGAAACUUUCCAUUUGAAGAGCAUCUGAGGGAUUCACAUCCAGAGAUAUACAAUUUCUCGAGAUGAGACGUCUCGCCACUGUAAUUACUAGGACACACAAUUCCUUCCGGCAUAGACUCCAAUGAUUCACAGCUUGUAAUACGAAGACGUAUCAUGUUGUGCGGCAAACCCCCUGUUGGGAAGGAGACUAAACUUCUACAUCGCCUUAUAGUCAAAUAUUUGAGAGAUUUGAGGUCUUUCAGUCCACUUGGCAACUCCUUCAGAUUUGGACACUCAUAUAUUUUCAAAACUUCAAGAUUGCAAGGCAAAAGCCCUGGCUCUCCAUCUACCAACGACACAAGCUCAUCACAUAACGCGAUUUCCAAACAGUUUAGACUAGUAAGACAGGUGGCAUUAGUCACACUCCUGAGAAUUGCCUCUUGACAUCUUCUAAUAGAGUGCUGUAAGUGAUGGGAGAACUUUUGGUAAUUCAACCAAAAGCGGGCAAUCAACGAUGAAAAGUUUUUCCAGUGAAGGAAGGAAGGUGGGCAAUUUCCCAACCAACUUGGGACAAUUUCGUAUUUGGAGUUGAUGCAGCUUAGGAAAUUUUGGCACAGAAUCUUCACCCAGACCAUUAGACCAAGCCCACAGCUCCCACUCACCCAUACUUCUAAUCUCUAGUUCUUCCAAACAAGAAAAACAUGAAUCAUCCUCAUAAAACUCAACACCCACUUCUUUCACUCCUCUCAUAUCUCCUAUGCUCAACCUUUUUAAUGACUUUAAUCGUCCAAGUGGUGGCAAUGAUGUCAUUUGGCGACACUUCCAUAGCUGCACCUGCACCAUGCCAGAGAAUGAAGGCUCACCCAGCCAUAAUGGGAAUUUCCUACCACCAAAUGAUGUAAUUGAUAGGCUUGACAGACUUUGAUAUGGCUGAACUGAGUUGAGAACUUGCUCUUCAUGACUUGGGUUUCUCAAAUCAUCAAAACGUUCAUCCGCUUCAGUCCAUUCCAAGUGCAAUUCAGUGAUACCAGGCUUAUCCUCCAAAUUGACAAAACCCGCAUCUCGAAUAUCUGCCACUUCCACAUUCUCUAAACUUGUAAUAUGAAGCUGCCCUCGAAGAUCACAAAGUUUCUUUAGCACCGUGAUCCGACCAUUGUUUUUCCCCAUGAUAAAUUUGGUCAACACGCAGAGACUAGUCAACUUACCAAUAUGUGGUGGCAUCUCUUUCAAUUUCCUUGUGCCAAUAAUGUCAAGAUGCUGCAAGUUGAGUAAAUUGCAUAUGCCUUUAGGUAACUCAAUAAGCUCAUCACAAUCACGCAACUUUAAUGUCUGUAAGUUGAAGAGUUUAUCCACUGAUUCAGGCAAUCCUUGGAUUGGAGUAUCAGAUAGGUUAAGGUAGCGUAAGUGCUUUAAGUCACCAAAAGAAUUUGGCAACUCCUCAAUCUCAUAACCAGCUAGAGAUCGUGACUUUAAGCAUUUUAAUUUUGGCACCAACUCAUGCACCACCUUACUAGUAAUGUGGCAUCUAAUCCGAUCCUCCCGCACGGAUAAAAAUGUGCGCAAAUUCUUCAUUUCACAGAAGCUUUGAAAUCUUUGAAAAGUGUUCAUAAAAUGAGGAAUAAAUGAAGAAUGUCUAAUCUUUGCAAAUGAUUUUGCAUUCUCCAACUUACCAACCAUAUGCAAACAUAUUUCUCUGCUAACAAAGCAAGCUAAAUCAACAAUUAGGUCAUGCAUUAUAUAUUUUGAUUUAUUAUCAUUUGAUUGUUGAAAAAAUGAUCUUGAUAAUAAAUCAUCAAAAUAUUUAUGACCCAAACCUUCACUAUCUUUCAUUUUCUUCUGGUCAUACAAGAAACCCUCAGCCAUCCACAGCAAAACCAAUUCAUUCCUAUCAAACUCGCGAUCCUUUGGUAGUAUUGCGCAAUAAGAGAAACAUCGCUUUAAAUGAGGUGGAAGAUGAAGAUAGCUCAACUUCAAGGCUGGAAGGAUAUUGCUCCUAUUGUCUGGUAAUUCCCACAUCUCACUGCUCAACACUUCCUUCCACAAAUCAGGAUUUGGUUUACCCUUUAAGAUGCCUCCAAGAGAUUUUGCUGCCAAAGGUAAUCCUCCACAUCUUUUGACAAUCUCCUCACCCAUUUGUUUCAGCUCCAAGUGCGCGUCAAAAUUAUUUGCUCCCAAAGCAUGCUGGGCAAACACAGACAUGCAUUCAUUGUGUGACAGCUUCUUAAGAGCAUAUGCUUGAGUCGUACCCAUCAUUAAUGAAACAUCCUGACUUCGAGUCGUGACGAUAACUCUGCUUUGAGGAGCCCCUGCUUCAAACGGACCCCAAAACAGAGUCCAUUCCUCAUAGUUCUGGGUCCACACAUCAUCUAGGACAACUAAAAACUUAUUUCCAGACAACUUUUGCUUCAAUUUUACCUGAAGCACAUUUAAAUCUUUAUCAUCACCACCAUCACCCAGCUGAAGAAGAAAUGUUUUUGUGACCCUGGAAACAUCAAAAUCUUCACCAACAGACACCCAGGCUUUUAAAUCAAACUCCAACAUGGGAUCAUUGUAGACUAGCUGAGCUAGAGUUGUCUUGCCAAGGCCUCCCAUCCCAACUAUGGAGAUCACAGAUACCUGGGCAUCACUUGUCUCAGCAUUCAACAAUUUCAACAUC